AAUAGCUCAGUUGGUUAGAGCAUCUGACUGUUAAUCAGAGGGUCGCAGGUUCAAGUCCUGCUU
RNAcentral lists this transfer RNA (63 nucleotides) under Candidatus Cryptobacteroides avicola. It matches the Rfam family "tRNA", at positions 6 to 65 of the family's 71-position model. From Rfam's summary of the family: Transfer RNA (tRNA) molecules are approximately 80 nucleotides in length. Their secondary structure includes four short double-helical elements and three loops (D, anti-codon, and T loops). Lineage: Bacteria; Pseudomonadati; Bacteroidota; Bacteroidia; Bacteroidales. The record is from RNAcentral. RNAcentral also lists the same sequence under 8 other names.